CCUACGGGUGGCAGCAGUAGGGAAUAUUGCUCAAUGGGGGAAACCCUGAAGCAGCAACGCCGCGUGGAGGAUGAAGGUUUUAGGAUUGUAAACUCCUUUUGUUAGAGAAGAUUAUGAGGGUAUGUAACUUAUAAGGACCGGCUAACACCGUGCCAGCAGCCGCGGUAAUACGGAGGGUGCAAGCGUUACUCGGAAUCACUGGGCGUAAAGAGUGCGUAGGCGGAUUAAUAAGUCAGAUGUGAAAUCCCUUAGCUUAACUACAGAACUGCAUUUGAAACUGUUACUCUGGAGUGUAGGAGAGGUAGGUGGAAUUCUUGGUGUAGGGGUAAAAUCCGUAGAGAUCAAGAAGAAUACUCAUUGCGAAGGCGACCUGCU
Molecule: ribosomal RNA, 375 nt
Filed under: uncultured bacterium
Lineage: Bacteria
Description: partial 16S ribosomal RNA
Rfam family: Bacterial small subunit ribosomal RNA
Source: RNAcentral